This 372-nucleotide ribosomal RNA is filed under the name uncultured organism. Its description in RNAcentral is "partial 16S ribosomal RNA". It matches the Rfam family "Bacterial small subunit ribosomal RNA", at positions 527 to 896 of the family's 1533-position model. The record is from RNAcentral.
GUAGGUGGCAAGCGUUGUCCGGAAUUAUUGGGCGUAAAGCGCGCGCAGGCGGUCCUUUAAGUCUGAUGUGAAAGCCCACGGCUCAACCGUGGAGGGUCAUUGGAACCUGGGGGACUUGAGUACAGAAGAGGAAAGCGGAAUUCCAAGCGUAGCGGUGAAAUGCGUAGAGAUUUGGAGGAACACCAGUGGCGAAGGCGGCUUUCUGGUCUGUAACUGACGCUGAGGCGCGAAAGCGUGGGGAGCAAACAGGGAUUAGAUACCCUGGUAGUCCACGCCGUAAACGAUGAGUGCUAAGUGUUAGGGGGUUUCCCGCCCCUUAGUGCUGCAGCUAACGCAUUAAGCACUCCGCCUGGGGAGUACGCCGCAAGGCUG